This 497-nucleotide ribosomal RNA is filed under the name uncultured bacterium. RNAcentral's name for it is "partial 16S ribosomal RNA". It matches the Rfam family "Bacterial small subunit ribosomal RNA", at positions 28 to 507 of the family's 1533-position model. The record is from RNAcentral.
GAUGAACGCUGGCGGCGUGCCUAAUACAUGCAAGUCGAGCGGACGGACGAUAAGCUUGCUGCUCUGAUGUUAGCGGCGGACGUGUGAGUAACACGUGGAUAACCUCCCUGUAAUACUGGGAAAACUUCGGGAAACGGGCGAUAAUACCGGAGAAUCUUCUGAACCGCAUGGUUCAAAAGUGAGAGACGGUCUUGCUGUCUCUUAUAGAUGCAUCCGCGCUGCAUUAGCUAGUUGGUAAGGUCACAGCUUAGCAAGGCAACGAUGCAUAACCGAGGUGACUGAGUGGUCGGCCACACUGGAAGGUAGACACGGUCCAGACUCCUGAGGGAGGCAGCAGUCUGGAAUCGUACGCAAUAGUCGGAAGCAUGACGGAGUGACGGGAAGUCAGUUAUGAAGGUGUUCGGUGCGUGAAGCUGUGUUAUGAGUGAUGAACAUAUUUGUACGGAACUGUAGCCAUCUUGACGGUACCGAGUCAGGAAGCCACGGCUAACUACGUG